Molecule: ribosomal RNA, 505 nt
Filed under: Saitozyma podzolica
Lineage: Eukaryota; Fungi; Basidiomycota; Tremellomycetes; Tremellales; Trimorphomycetaceae
Description: partial 26S ribosomal RNA
Rfam family: Eukaryotic large subunit ribosomal RNA
Source: RNAcentral
AGCUCAAAUUUGAAAGCUGGCGUCCUACGGGCGUCCGCAUUGUAAUCUAUAGAGGCGUUUUCUGUGCUGGACCGUGUCCAAGUCCCUUGGAACAGGGUAUCAAAGAGGGUGACAAUCCCGUACUUGACACGACAACCAGUGCUCUGUGAUACGUCUUCUACGAGUCGAGUUGUUUGGGAAUGCAGCUCAAAAUGGGUGGUGAAUUCCAUCUAAAGCUAAAUAUUGGCGAGAGACCGAUAGCGAACAAGUACCGUGAGGGAAAGAUGAAAAGCACUUUGGAAAGAGAGUUAAACAGUAUGUGAAAUUGUUGAAAGGGAAACGAUGGAGGUCAGUCGUGUCUGUGGGAUUCAGCCGUCUCUGGCGGUGUACUUCCCACAGACGGGUCAACAUCAGUUUUGGCUGGCGGAUAAAGGCAGGAGGAAGGUGGCACCCCCGGGUGUGUUAUAGCCUCUUGUUGCAUACGCUGGCUGAGACUGAGGAAUGCAGCUCGCCUUUAUGGCCGGGG